UGCAGCCUCCUACGUACGAUCCCC
Molecule: non-coding RNA, 24 nt
Filed under: Mus musculus (house mouse)
Lineage: Eukaryota; Metazoa; Chordata; Mammalia; Rodentia; Muridae
Source: RNAcentral